This 541-nucleotide ribosomal RNA is filed under the name Hyla intermedia (Italian tree frog). Its description in RNAcentral is "partial 16S ribosomal RNA". It matches the Rfam family "Bacterial large subunit ribosomal RNA", at positions 1858 to 2597 of the family's 2925-position model. Lineage: Eukaryota; Metazoa; Chordata; Amphibia; Anura; Hylidae. The record is from RNAcentral.
CCUGCCCAGUGACUCUGUUCAACGGCCGCGGUAUCCUAACCGUGCGAAGGUAGCGUAAUCACUUGUUCUUUAAAUGAGGACUAGUAUGAAUGGCACCACGAGGGUUACACUGUCUCCUUUUUCUAAUCAGUGAAACUAAUCUUCCCGUGAAGAAGCGGGAAUAAACAUAUAAGACGAGAAGACCCUAUGGAGCUUUAAACUCAAUAACACUUGCUUUUAAGUACCAAUACUUCAGAGUAACAAACACUCAUUAUGGCCUCCUGAUUAUUAGUUUUAGGUUGGGGUGACCGCGGAGCAAAAGACAACCUCCACAUUGAAUGGGGGUAUACCCCUGAGCCACGAGCUACAACUCUACGCACCAAUAAAUUGACAUCUAUUGACCCAAUAUAUUGAUCAACGAACCAAGUUACCCUAGGGAUAACAGCGCAAUCCGCCUCAAGAGCUCCUAUCGACAGGCGGGUUUACGACCUCGAUGUUGGAUCAGGGUAUCCCAGUGGUGCAGCCGCUACUAAAGGUUCGUUUGUUCAACGAUUAAAACCCU